UUCGUCAUAGUGCUCGCGACGAAACAUGAAUGAAGGCCAUCAUCUGAAUGUUAUAAAAUAGAAUGAUUAGAAACAAAAGAAAAGCACAUCUGACAAUAUGUUAAGUUGUAUGCAGUCUGUACACAAAUAAAAAUAGAAGAACAAAAACGAUGCGUAGUUAUCGGUGAUACUAGUGAUUGCGAAAAAUCUGUAAAUACAUUAUAUUAGUGACAAACAUCAUCAUAAAGAUAACAAUGGGGAUACAUGUAUGCACCAAAAUGAGAAGUUAUUUUGUAUUUGAGAAACAGAAAAUAGUUCAACAUUGCAAACCUUGUUGUUCUACAACGUUUGGAAUUAAUUUGUUCAUUAGAAUGUUCAGUUUCUCCAUAUAACGUGGGUUUAUUUUCAGAUAAAAUGACGCAAGUAUUUUUCUAGUAAUUGUAGUUGAAAUCAAUCGCAUGUUCCAAAAUGUUGUUAGGCUACAAUACGACGAAGAAAUCAACAGAAUGGAAUAAAUUAUGGGGACCAACUCAUAUAACACAAAUUAAUUAAAAACUUUAAAAUGCUACAUAUAUGGGAUUCUGCUGUUCCUUUUCACCACUACAGGUGACUAGCAAUGUUGGCAGUUGGUGGGGCAAAUUAUUUAUUUUUUCAACGGUCAUUUAAGAAUUUUUUGCAGUUUUCAAUCAAAAUAUUUAAGACUUUGUAAGCUUGCAUUGCUGUUUGCUAUGCCUGGAGCUACAAGAAACAAUGGAUGAAUGGAAAGAAUGGACCUGCAAAGUAGUAUCUGGAAUGUGUCUGCACUAUGAACUGAUAGGUAGACUUGUGGCUGCUCAUAAAGUGAUGCCCCCAAUGUUCAGUCACCUGACAGUAAGCAACUAUUUAAUACGAAGAUGCCAAUAUACAGGUUACUCCGUCAAAUUACACACCUCAGGUUCAGGAAACAUACUUGCCUAAUAAGGUGGAUUUCAACCAAUUUUUGUGAAUCUAAUAAAGCUCGCAUGGUAAUCAGAAUUGUAACAGACAAUUAAAACACAAACUAGUCAUUA
RNAcentral lists this long non-coding RNA (1028 nucleotides) under Hordeum vulgare. RNAcentral's name for it is "long non-coding RNA (HVUL_LNC016603)". The record is from RNAcentral. Lineage: Eukaryota; Viridiplantae; Streptophyta; Magnoliopsida; Poales; Poaceae.